Molecule: unclassified non-coding RNA, 334 nt
Filed under: soil metagenome
Description: partial contains 5.8S ribosomal RNA, internal transcribed spacer 2, and large subunit ribosomal RNA
Rfam family: 5.8S ribosomal RNA (bases 1-120)
Source: RNAcentral
GAUGAAGAACGUAGCGAAAUGCGAUAAGUAAUGUGAAUUGCAGAAUUCAGUGAAUCAUCGAAUCUUUGAACGCACAUUGCGCCCGCCAGUAUUCUGGCGGGCAUGCCUGUUCGAGCGUCAUUUCAACCAUCAAGCCCCCGGCUUGUGUUGGGGACCUGCGGCUGCCGCAGGCCCUGAAAACCAGUGGCGGGCUCGCUAGUCACUCCGAGCGUAGUAAUACAUCUCGCUCAGGGCGUGCUGCGGGUUCCGGCCGUUAAAAGCCUUAUUUACCCAAGGUUGACCUCGGAUCAGGUAGGAAGACCCGCUGAGCUUAAGCAUAUCAAUAAGCGGAGGA